GCUCCCCACCCUAGGUCCAAGGCAUCGGACAUGAGGGUCACUGACGGGGAUGGAGCUGCAAAGGGAACUCCCUCCAACCUCAAUGCAGGACUCUGCCACCAGCCCCAGGUCAUGACAGGUGGAACAAACCAUAUCAAGAUGCUGCCACAGAUGAUCCCGGGACUGGCCCUUUAUUAGCCAGUCGUCAAGGUGCUCAGCCGAAGAGUCCCCCAGGACCGAGACUGUGGAGGCGGAGGGCGGAACGGCUUCCUGGCCUAUUGAGGAGUAUGGAGGCCCAAGCAGCAGAGACUGGCACAGGAGUCUUUAAGGCUGUGGACUCAAGUCCAUGAGCUCAGAGAAGAGCCCCACCCCCUCAAAUGGGAGGUCCUGAAAAGUGGACUUCAUCUCCUGGGACAGCCCAGAGGACUGCAACUAGGAGCUGUGCCUCAUGGCCAGUGCAGAGGCGACCACAGUGGCCGCUGAAUCAAUAGUGUCCCAGGCCAUCUGGAGGGCCCCCCUUGCCACAACUGUGCCUUCGUUGACUAGAGCAGCGAACUCCUGGGCUGCUCCUGAAUUUGUUAAGGGAGUCCCGCAGGUUAAAACUGUACCUGUUUAACAGGGCCUGGUGGUUAGACACCCGAAAUUGCAGGCUGGCCGUCGAAUAAUCAUCCUGCCAAAUAAGUCCAGUCUCUUGGUGUCUGUUUUUCAGCAUGCCACUGACCUGGUCCUGCCUGCCCCUUUCAUUAACAGCGGACAUGACCAGUGAUGCUG
This is a long non-coding RNA of Mauremys reevesii (Reeves's turtle), 750 nucleotides long. RefSeq lists it as uncharacterized. The transcript is spliced from 3 exons. The record is from RefSeq and is a predicted model, not a curated record. Lineage: Eukaryota; Metazoa; Chordata; Testudines; Geoemydidae.